AGAAGUUCGUUAAACCCUCCCACCUAGAGGAAGGAGAAGUGGUAACAAAGGUUUCCGUAGGUAACCUGCGGAAGGAUCAUUG
RNAcentral lists this ribosomal RNA (82 nucleotides) under uncultured Trebouxia photobiont. Its description in RNAcentral is "partial 18S ribosomal RNA". It matches the Rfam family "Eukaryotic small subunit ribosomal RNA", at positions 1750 to 1831 of the family's 1831-position model. Lineage: Eukaryota; Viridiplantae; Chlorophyta; Trebouxiophyceae; Trebouxiales; Trebouxiaceae. The record is from RNAcentral.